Molecule: non-coding RNA, 142 nt
Organism: Gossypium raimondii (Peruvian cotton)
Lineage: Eukaryota; Viridiplantae; Streptophyta; Magnoliopsida; Malvales; Malvaceae
Source: Rfam
UGAUAAAAAAACCCAUUUGUAUGGUUAAAAACUGGUGUGACUGACAGAAUAACCAGACAAUGCUACAUGGUGUACCACGUAUAUCUUACGCUAACUUACAUAGACCAAUUUUUAAUAGUAGAAAUUGAUGAAAAUUUUAACA